UAUUAGGUUGGUGCAAACAUAUUUGUGGUUUUUGCCAUUGAAAGUAAUGCAAAAACCACAAUUAUGUUUGCACCAACCUAAUA
Molecule: non-coding RNA, 83 nt
Organism: Papio anubis (olive baboon)
Lineage: Eukaryota; Metazoa; Chordata; Mammalia; Primates; Cercopithecidae
Source: Rfam